RNAcentral lists this transfer RNA (70 nucleotides) under Atherina boyeri (big-scale sand smelt). RNAcentral describes it as "tRNA-Arg". It matches the Rfam family "tRNA". Rfam says of the family: Transfer RNA (tRNA) molecules are approximately 80 nucleotides in length. Their secondary structure includes four short double-helical elements and three loops (D, anti-codon, and T loops). Lineage: Eukaryota; Metazoa; Chordata; Actinopteri; Atheriniformes; Atherinidae. The record is from RNAcentral.
UAGGCGGCUAGUUUAAUUAAAAUACUUGAUUUCGGCUCAAAAACUUAUGGUUAAAGUCCAUAGCUGCCUA